RNAcentral lists this transfer RNA (66 nucleotides) under Dyscolus funereus. RNAcentral's name for it is "tRNA-Pro". Lineage: Eukaryota; Metazoa; Arthropoda; Insecta; Coleoptera; Carabidae. The record is from RNAcentral.
CAGAGAAUAGUUUAAUAAAAAUAUUAAUUUUGGAGAUUAAUGAUAAAAGGUUACUUUUUUCUCUGA